UCGGGAUAACACCUGGAAACAGAUGCUAAUACCGGAUAACAACAGAUGAUGCCUAUCAACUGUUUAAAAGAUGGUUCUGCUAUCACUCUUGGAUGGACCUGCGGUGCAUUAGCUAGUUGGUAGGGUAACGGCCUACCAAGGCGAUGAUGCAUAGCCGAGUUGAGAGACUGAUAGGCCACAUUGGGACUGAGACACGGCCCAAACUCCUACGGGAGGCAGCAGUC
RNAcentral lists this ribosomal RNA (224 nucleotides) under uncultured Lactobacillus sp. RNAcentral's name for it is "partial 16S ribosomal RNA". It matches the Rfam family "Bacterial small subunit ribosomal RNA", at positions 138 to 355 of the family's 1533-position model. The record is from RNAcentral. Lineage: Bacteria; Bacillati; Bacillota; Bacilli; Lactobacillales; Lactobacillaceae.